Molecule: ribosomal RNA, 534 nt
Filed under: Colletotrichum karsti
Lineage: Eukaryota; Fungi; Ascomycota; Sordariomycetes; Glomerellales; Glomerellaceae
Description: eukaryotic LSU rRNA
Rfam family: 5.8S ribosomal RNA (bases 178-331)
Source: RNAcentral
UAUAACCCUUUGUGAACAUACCUACAACUGUUGCUUCGGCGGGCAGGCCGUCCCCUGAAAAGGACGCCUCCCGGCCCGGACCGGACCCCCCGCGGGACCGGACCCGGCGCCCGCCGGAGGAUAACCAAACUCUAUUGUAACGACGUUUCUUCUGAGUGGCAUAAGCAAAAUAAUCAAAACUUUUAACAACGGAUCUCUUGGUUCUGGCAUCGAUGAAGAACGCAGCGAAAUGCGAUAAGUAAUGUGAAUUGCAGAAUUCAGUGAAUCAUCGAAUCUUUGAACGCACAUUGCGCCCGCCAGCAUUCUGGCGGGCAUGCCUGUUCGAGCGUCAUUUCAACCCUCAAGCUCUGCUUGGUGUUGGGGCUCUACGGUCGACGUAGGCCCUCAAAGGUAGUGGCGGACCCUCCCGGAGCCUCCUUUGCGUAGUAACAUUUCGUCUCGCACUGGGAUCCGGAGGGACUCUUGCCGUAAAACCCCCCAAUUUUCCAAAGGUUGACCUCGGAUCAGGUAGGAAUCCCGCUGAACUUAACAUAU